AUGAUGUAUUUGACCAUUUACUAACAUAUAUGGGUAUCAAUAAGUUAUGUGCUUUAAGUGAUUUAAAAUAUAAUUUGCUUUCUAACUGUAAGACCACAGAAUCAGCUUUGGUUAGCAAGACAGGAUGGACCGGUUGGCACCAAUUGCUAUCAGUGUGUGAAACAAUGAACAGAGCUAAAUAAUCAGUCAAAGUAACGGUUGAGGCAUUUCCAAGGUCCAACAUGUCGCAGAGAACGAAGAGGCUAGAAUGAGGAGAUUAGGUUAGAGUGGGAGGAUUACUGCAAGGCACAGAGUGGAGGAUGGAAUGUCUGAGAACCAUUCUCCGAUGUGCGCAACAUAAACAAGACACAACAGUCAAGAGAAGACCUGGGAGCUAUUUCACUGUUGCUGCUAUUGAACUCCUAGAACAGAUGCUAAUAUUAGUUGAAAGGAUUGAUGUGGUGGCUGAGGUAAAAGGGAAUCGUGAAGAUUCUGAUGGUGAUAGUGGGCUGUGUUGUCAGCUUGACCCACUCGAGGUGGGGACUGGACAUUUCGCAAUCCCAGAAUUCUAGUUUGUCUUAAGUUGACCAAAAAGAAUAUCGCAAAGACUCCUGGACUUGUUUUGCUGAAAUAGAACUGAUUCUAUUGACUCUCAAGGACAUUGGUAACAUCAGUACAUUAAACUGCAAAGAACAAAAGGAGUGUAUCGACCUGACCUACGUGACUAAAAAGGUCUAACUUUGGAAACAAAGACAAGUCUAACCGAUCUUAAGAAGAGAUAUUCUACAAUCAACAUUGAUCGAACCACGUUAACAAGUCGAUUCCUAAUCACAGCCACUGUAUUAAUCUGAUUCAUUAAUUGCACUGAACUUUAUUACUCAUUCUUAAGCAUUUGUGAUUGCCCAAGCCAUAAUUACAAUGAUUGUCUCUUUGUGUUAUUUGCGCUCCUACUUGGGCUACCCAAGUGCAAUCUAACCAUUUACAGUUAGCUUGCUUAAUAAAUCAUAGAUAAAUGAGAGAUCGGGGGACUGUUGAAAUAUACUGACUAUCACCUCGGGAUACAUUGGCAUAUUUCAAACGCAACCGAAUGUUCCGGGAGGUUUGAUAGUUAAAUGAUUAAAAGUAGCUUUUCUGGACUUGAGGUUAGCUUCCGAUUACAUUUCAGAUUUUCCUGUAAAAAUGUUCACUCCUCUGAGAUAAUGGGCAAUCGAGUCCUUGAACAUAGAUGUAAGAACAAUGGACCACAGAAAGAAAAGGCUACAGACACCUGCCUUUCUCAAGGUUGAGAAACAAGCAAGCUGUGGAAGGCUGCCUAGAAGUUGUCCAUAUCUUUCUCCUUAUCAGAUAUUUUCUGAUGCGAAAAGGGCCUGCUGAAAGAUCGCUAGCAGCCUGCGAAGGGUGGGGGCUAUCUCUGUGACAAGGGGAGGUGGAGUUAGAAACACAUAAAAGAAAGAUGUAACUUUCGAAUAGUUGUAGAGUUGUGCAGAGGGUCAGUGCACUUCCCAGUGGAAUCUAUAUUGAUUCUACUGUAUCUUUGUAUAUGUACAGGGAUGAGGGAAUUUACCUCCAGUAAGAAAGUGACCAUUAAAAGUGAAAGAGGAGAAGUGGUGGGUAAUAUGUUUUUGGUUCUGUUUGCUAGCCAUAGAAGUAGUAACAGUAGUAGUGGUUGGUCCGUUUGUAACACAGAAGUCAGAUUAGACAGUACGAGUGAUGUGCUGGGCUAAGAGCUGAUUGUUGCUGUUGGGUUUCAGGACCCACUCUCUGUGAUUUUGUGUGAUAGUUCUGUGAUGCCUCCAAUGUAUGUCAAGGUGUGCUCCCAGGUCUACUGUUUAGUCUGGAGAACGAAACAGGGCCUGGAUACAUGUUGUCGUCCCUAUAUCGUCAGUACUAAGGGCUGCAAGAUACUGUGAGGAUCAGCUAUAUCUGAGGGGCAAUUCCAGAAGCUGAACUCUGUACCGGUGCCGGUUAAAAGACACUAUUGGGGAUUGUCUGUCUUCCGAAGUUUUGUGUUACUGAAUCAGUUGUCCCUGAGGGUUUUCCAGGGGCUGAUCUCUGCUGUGUCUUUUGAAGGGUGUUGUUUGUCUGGAGUCCUGAGCAACCUCAAGUACAUGCUGUGUGGUAAAUGUUUUGCUCACAUAGAUGUGUUGUACUGUUAUUGUGUCGUUAUAUGUAGUAUAAUUUGAUUACAGAUUGUUACGAAUUGUUAAACCUUAUGUUUCAUCUUAUGCAAUAAACUCUAUACUCUUA
Long non-coding RNA from Callorhinchus milii (elephant shark), 2226 nucleotides. RefSeq lists it as uncharacterized. NCBI's taxonomy places the organism in Eukaryota, Metazoa, Chordata, Chondrichthyes, Chimaeriformes, Callorhinchidae. The record is from RefSeq and is a predicted model, not a curated record. The transcript is spliced from 2 exons.